AAAAAUUAUUAAUAGUUGUGUAGGAAGCACGUCUUGUCAGGCUCCACUUUAGCAGAAAAAAAGUAAUAUAAUUGAGAUAUUGAAAUUGGUCCACAUUUUCAUCGAAACCAUGCAACAACAACACCAACACUAGAAGAAAACGGAGAAGAGAAGAGAGAGUUUUUUGUUUAGGGAUCUGUUUUUGAGGACAUGGGGAGGUUGUUUGUGGUGAAUCUGGAAGGGAAGAUCUAUAGCUGCAAGCACUGCAGAACCCAUCUGGCUCUUUAUGAAGAUAUUGUUUCAAAGGUUUGUUCUUGAUUCAUUUUGAACCUUUGUUGUUUCUCAAUUGAUUGGUGAUAAUUUUGUGGAAUUCCCAUCUGGGUAUUUUCAAUUUGGCCCUUUUUCUGAUAUUUGCCUGAAUUAAGGGUGCUUUUUGAUGGGGUGGACUGUAUGUUCUGAUGUGUUGUUUUUGAGUUAGUUCACCGUAUGGGGAUUUGUUUGGCAGAAAUAAAGAAUCAAGCGGUGAAUUUCUGGUUAGAGGAUGAGAUUUCUUGGAUUUGUCAUUCUAAUUACUUAACAUUUUUCACAUGAUUAUCAAUAGAUAGAUUUGAUGUUUGAAGUUGAUUUGGAUUAACCGACAUUUUAGAAAUGAAUUCUUGCUCCAGUUUGAAAGAUAAGGAAUCGAUGAUAACUCAACUUAGGGAUCUUAGGUGGUUAGUUUGCGGAGUUUGGUCACUUUAAACUUCAAAAGUGGAAAAUUAUGUGCAUCGAGAGCCUUUUAGUAUAUGGAAAGGCUGCCAUCCUAAUCCUUAUUUUGGAAGAAGCAUCCUGCCAUUAUCAUUAAUGAUGUUUCACCCAUAAUGUAAACUUGGGAAGGUAUUAUUGUCAAUGAAAAAUGAUUGCAUUUAGAUGCUUUUAUGUUCGAUUUUGUUUUUGCAGUAUAUUUAGGCCUCAUUGAGGCUGCAGGAAGGCUGCUUAUAGCACCAGUUUCUGCAGCCCCAGGUGCCUCCCAAAAUGAUGGUUUUCCAGCAGCAGGUGAAACAUUAAAAGAAGAGCAAAAGCUGUUUGGCAAAAACUGCCCAAACAUGUCCACCAAACUGGGCCUUAGUUUUGUGUCAUUUGUGCUUCAAAAUUAAAUUUAUCUGACUGCAUAUGCCUGUAUGAAUAUAAUUAUCAUUGCAUCAUCUUUAUAACCUUGCAGUUUGACAUACAUCACUGUGCUUAAAUUCGUAUAUGUUGUGAUUUCAUGUGUGAAUUAAACUUACCUCAGUUGGAGAGGAUUGAUUGAGGAAAUAUGUACAAGUAAAAACCCACAAAGCCAAUAGUUUGAUUUUUUGAGUUCAAACUACAAAGGUGGUGUCCAGCUGCAAACAUGACCUUGCUUGGCUUGCUAUGCAAAGUCAUCAUCUCCUGAAGGACUAACGGUAACAGAGUUAGACUUUUGUUGCUGGGAAAGUGGAAAUGUGGAGGCUUUGGCAACUCCAAUGUUUUUUCUUAGCAUCUCUCUUCCUCAUGGUUGAGUGGCUCUUGUUUAUGGGGAAUUAAUUCUAUGGAUGGAAUUCAGACAUGAAAGGGAAAUUAUUUGUUGUAGUUCUAGUUCAUACAAGUUAUUCUCACUUUGGCCGCUUGGAAGGGACCAUGUAGGCAUGUAUAUAUAGGAAGAAAGAUAAACUAAUAGCUUAAACUUUUAUGUGUCUAGGCUCUUGGGUGGUGCCCAGCUUAUAUGUUACUUUGUUGAUCUCACUUGAGUCUUCAUACAAGUUCUGCAGAGGUGACUUCCACAUGCAUGCAUGUCUAUGAGCAGUCAUGAGUAUUAUGAUAAAAAGGGGAUAGGCUUCACAUACAGUGCUAUUUAUAUUUUCUCAAUUGUCAAGAUGAGGCUUGGAUGGUGAAAUAGUAAACAUUUUCCUUGAUCACAUGUAUUCCAGUGUGCUCUGAUGGAUUCUCAUAUUUUUCAUACUGUCCAACGAAUGUUUUUUGGAGUUUUUAAAGGAAGCAAGAGUUUUGACUUUCUGUUUUGCCUGUGUUCUUUUCUUCAGUCCUUCCAGUGCAGGUAUGGGAAAGCUUAUCUCUUCAACAAGGUGUAAGUGUUUCUUAUUUUGGGUACAACUUAUUAUCACCAUCAUAAAUUCCAUUUGGAAGUAGCUUUAUGUUGGUUCAACAACCUGUGGACUUGCUCAUAGCACAAGAUGCCAUUAACUAACUUUGCCCCAGGACCUACCAAUAACAUUUAAUUUAUUCUUUUAGAACAGUUUAAUACUAAAAAUUUUACAUGUAAACUAUGUGUCGGUCAGUCUUCAGCUAUGUUUGAAGAUGUACGGUUAUCAUUUGCCUUAGGCAUGGAGCGUGGGCUUCCAAUUUUACAGGGACUAACCUGCAGGUCUAGAUUAAUUUGAAGGGGCCUAUCAUAAAUUCAUAAUACAUUUUAUAAAUUAAUUUACAUUUAUGGGUGAAGUUUUAAGUUUUAAGUUUUAAAUUUUUUUUGGAGGGGCAAGCCAGGGAUAUGAAUGAAAAUUUGUAUCAGAUGAGAGAUCCUUACUCAAUAUGCAAGCAAUUUAGGUUUGAAGUCUUAAACUUUAAAUUUUUUGCCAUACCCCAAGUUAAUGAUGUUCAAUCCUGGACUUGCCUGGUGUCUGGUUUUGCUCCCUCUCCCACCCCUCUUUCUCCCAUCAGUAAGAGAUGAAAAUAAUUCAUCUACUGCUGAAAGGGGUCAUGUAAGCUGCCAGCAUUGUCGUUAGUUGGAUAAAUGGUGAACUAUGUUGGUUAAGGAUUAUCCUAACAUAUGGUUUAAUCCCCAACAUGAUUUAUGAGACAUUGUAAGACACUUGUUGCUCUUUUAGCUUUAAUCUUCUUUCCUUAUUUGACAGAGCGAAUGUCUUUGUGGGAGUGAAAGAAGAGAGAUUGAUGAUGACUGGGUUGCAUACUGUUGCUGAUAUUUUCUGUGUUGGAUGUGGAUCGAUUGUGGGUUGGAAAUACGAGACUGCCUGUGAAAAGAGCCAAAAGUACAAGGAAGGAAAAUCUGUUCUCGAGCGGUUUAAGGUAGCUGGUCCUGAUGGAAGCAGUUAUUGGAUGAAUCAUGAAGCACAUGUUGGUGGAAGUGAUGCAGAUGAUGUUUGAUUACCUUUCAUUUCCAAUUGUACAUUCUUUCUCCUCUAAUGUUCUUUAUUUUAACUCUAUAUGAACUAGGAAACACCAAAUUCCUGAUUUCGACGGCUCGCUCAUCUUGCCGUCAAAUAACAUGAUUCUAUACAUGGGAUUGUUGGUUCUGAUGUAUUCCAUGCUCAGUUUCAAGGGUCAUUCCAUGUUAAAAACUUCAUUUCAUUGUUGAAUUUUUUACUGCAAUUUCAAGGGUUAAUCCUUUCAGGCAAUUCUUA
This 3353-nucleotide unclassified non-coding RNA is filed under the name Hevea brasiliensis (rubber tree). Lineage: Eukaryota; Viridiplantae; Streptophyta; Magnoliopsida; Malpighiales; Euphorbiaceae. The record is from RNAcentral.